This 433-nucleotide ribosomal RNA is filed under the name uncultured bacterium. RNAcentral describes it as "bacterial SSU rRNA". It matches the Rfam family "Bacterial small subunit ribosomal RNA", at positions 958 to 1391 of the family's 1533-position model. The record is from RNAcentral.
AACGCGAAGAACCUUACCUGGGUUUGACAUGCACCAGACAUCCCUAGAGAUAGGGCUUCCCUUGUGGUUGGUGUGCAGGUGGUGCAUGGUUGUCGUCAGCUCGUGUCGUGAGAUGUUGGGUUAAGUCCCGCAACGAGCGCAACCCUUGUUCCCCAUGUUGCCAGCGGGUUAUGCCGGGGACUCGUGGGGGACUGCCGGGGUCCUCGGAGGAAGGUGGGGAUGACGUCAAAUCAUCAUGCCCCUUAUGUCCAGGGCUUCACACAUGCUACAAUGGCCAGUACAGAGGGCUGCGAGACCGUGAGGUGGAGCGAAUCUCUUAAAGCUGGUCUCAGUUCGGAUUGGGGUCUGCAACUCGACCCCAUGAAGUUGGAGUCGCUAGUAAUCGCAGAUCAGCAACGCUGCGGUGAAUACGUUCCCGGGCCUUGUACACACC